GACGAACGCUGGCGGCGUGCUUAACACAUGCAAGUCGAACGGAAAGGUCCUGCUUUUGUGGGGUGCUCGAGUGGCGCACGGGUGAGUAACACGUGAGUAACCUGCACUUGUCUUUGGGAUAACAUCAGGAAACUGGGGCUCAUACCGGGUAGGAUCUACUGCUGCAUGGUGGGGGUUGGAAAGAUUCGGCGGUUGGGGAUGGAAUCGAUGCUUCUCGGCUUGUUGGUGUGGUAGUGGCUUACCAAGGCUGUGAGGGGUAGCCGGCCUGGGAGGGUGACCGGCGACAUGGGUACUGAGGUACGGCCCAGACGCCAACGGGAGGCAGCAGGGGGGAAUAUUGCAGAACGGGCGGAAGCCUGUGGCAGCAACGCCGGGUGCGGGAUGACGGGCUUUGGGUGGUAAACCGCUUUCUCCGGUGACGAAGCGGGAGUGACGGUAAUGGGUAAGGAAGCACCGGCUAACUACGUG
RNAcentral lists this ribosomal RNA (468 nucleotides) under uncultured bacterium. RNAcentral's name for it is "partial 16S ribosomal RNA". It matches the Rfam family "Bacterial small subunit ribosomal RNA", at positions 28 to 507 of the family's 1533-position model. The record is from RNAcentral.